This is a long non-coding RNA of Zingiber officinale, 367 nucleotides long. RefSeq lists it as uncharacterized. The record is from RefSeq and is a predicted model, not a curated record. NCBI's taxonomy places the organism in Eukaryota, Viridiplantae, Streptophyta, Magnoliopsida, Zingiberales, Zingiberaceae. The transcript is spliced from 3 exons.
CCCUAGUUUUGGGUUCACAGCCGUCGACACCGAAGACUCCCUUCUCCUCUCCUUCUCCUGACGCCGAGAAGCGCCGAGCCUAGCCUCCCCGCAUUCCCCAGCGCCGACCACCGCAGUGCCGCGGCCCUUUUUCCUCUUUGGAGCUGUGCGCCGACGCCGACCCUCUUUCGCCGGCCACCAGGUCUGACCCUUAGGCGCCUCUGACUCCAUUGAUCACCAGGUGCUGUCGCGCAACCGAUGGGCCUAGUAGUGCCCUAGUUCUCGCCGCCGCAGCCACCUAGCCUCUGUGCUGCUUGCUGCCACAGAAGAGGGAGGUUCUUGGUUGUGGUUUGAGUGUGGAGGGUUUCCAGCAACAGUUACUUUGUCC